Molecule: ribosomal RNA, 255 nt
Filed under: uncultured bacterium
Lineage: Bacteria
Description: partial 16S ribosomal RNA
Rfam family: Bacterial small subunit ribosomal RNA
Source: RNAcentral
UACGAAGGGGGCUAGCGUUGCUCGGAAUCACUGGGCGUAAAGCGCACGUAGGCGGAUCGUUAAGUCAGGGGUGAAAUCCUGGAGCUCAACUCCAGAACUGCCUUUGAUACUGAGGAUCUUGAGUUCGGGAGAGGUGAGUGGAACUGCGAGUGUAGAGGUGAAAUUCGUAGAUAUUCGCAAGAACACCAGUGGCGAAGGCGGCUCACUGGCCCGAUACUGACGCUGAGGCACGAAAGCGUGGGGAAGCAAACAGGG